AAUGAACGCUGGCGGCAGGCCCAACACAUGCAAGUCGAACGGAUCCUUCGGGAUUAGUGGCGGACGGGUGAGUAACGCGUGGGAACAUACCCUUUGGUACGGAAUAGCCUCGGGAAACUGGGAGUAAUACCGUAUGUGGUCGAGAGACGAAAGAUUUAUCGCCAAAGGAUUGGCCCGCGUUGGAUUAGGUAGUUGGUGGGGUAAUGGCCUACCAAGCCGACGAUCCAUAGCUGGUUUGAGAGGAUGAUCAGCCACACUGGGACUGAGACACGGCCCAGACUCCUACGGGAGGCAGCAGUGGGGAAUAUUGGACAAUGGGCGAAAGCCUGAUCCAGCAAUGCCGCGUGAGUGAUGAAGGCCUUAGGGUUGUAAAGCUCUUUUACCAGGGAUGAUAAUGACAGUACCUGGAGAAUAAGCUCCGGCUAACUCCGUGCCAGCCGCCGCCGUAA
Molecule: ribosomal RNA, 449 nt
Filed under: uncultured bacterium
Lineage: Bacteria
Description: partial 16S ribosomal RNA
Rfam family: Bacterial small subunit ribosomal RNA
Source: RNAcentral